This is an RNA transcript of Panicum hallii, 874 nucleotides long. It is a transcript of the gene named protein NUCLEAR FUSION DEFECTIVE 6, chloroplastic/mitochondrial-like, with no coding region annotated. Lineage: Eukaryota; Viridiplantae; Streptophyta; Magnoliopsida; Poales; Poaceae. The transcript is spliced from 4 exons. The record is from RefSeq and is a predicted model, not a curated record.
CAUCGCGGUGGUAGGGUUUAUUGGCAUCUCUCUCUCCUCUCUUGCCGCGCCCCGCCACCACAGAGCAGAACACCGCACCCGCCGCCGAAAUGGCCGCCGCCGCCGCGAGAUCCUUCCUCCGAUCCAGCGCUCCCUCGUCACUCCGCAGCGCGGCGGCCAGAGCCGCCUCGCGUGCGGGGCCGGCUCCGCUGCCGAGGCGGAUGCCCACCUCUGCCCCCCGCGUCCUUCUAAGGUCGCCGGUGGAGAUGAGCAGCGUGUGUCUGGAGUCCCUGAUGCCCAUGCACAGCGCCACGGCGUCGGCGCUCAUGACUUCGCUUCUCGCCGCCCCGGCUUGCAAGGGAUUCGGUUGGCUCUCGGAAGCUGGCAAUGAUGACGUGUGACAAUAUCUAGGUGGAAUGUAGCAGAUUAUUAUCCCUUCACCUCAUAUCUACAGGCCUGUGAUUAGUGCGUUGGAGGUCAUCUUGGAUGAAGACUAGCCCAUGCUUUUAUUUGCCAUCUCUGUUACCUCGGUUUGACCAUGAUAAAUGGACAUAAUAGAGCAGAAGUUGCUUUUAUUGCUGUUUAACUUUUAUGGUGUCAAUUAAGAGCUGGAGCUCAGGUUAUUAUGUUUCUAUUUGUAGAUGGAUGAUUUGUCAUUAUUGGAGCCCUGCAGUGAUGGUAGCUGGUCUGGAUUGUGGACUACCACCUCAUGAAUUUAAAGUACCUGUUUGGCGUCUCAGUUAACAUGUUUUGUACUCUGGGAUUCCAGUUUCUAUAAGCAUUUACGGAAUUAUUCUUGAGAUUCAUUGGUGGUUGUCUAAUAGAUUUUGGUCUUGACGACCUGCUUGAUUACGCAGAUCUGGAAUGAAUAAAAUUAACAGGGAGUUUCUGCUGA